GAUCCUGGUCUCAGUAUGAACGCUAGCGGCAGGCCUAACACAUGCAAGUCGAGGUGUAGNGUGCUCUGCGUUUGAACCGCGCGCACACGGGUGCGCUAACACGUGUACAAUCUACCUUUUGUAAGGAUAGCCCAGAAAUUUGGGAUUAAUACCUUAUAGUAUUGUUUGGGGCAUCACUGAAUAAUUAAAGCUCUGGUGGCAAAAGAUGAGUACGCGUCCCAUUAGCUAGUUGGUGGUAACGCACCAAGGCUACGAUGGGUAGGGGUCCUGAGAGGGAGGUCCCCCACCGGGUACUGAGACACGGACCAACUCCUACGGGAGGCAGCAGUGAGGAAUAUUGGACCAAUGGUCGGAAGACUGAUCCACCAUGCCGCGUGCAGGAUGACGGCCUUAUGGGGUUGUAAACUGCUUUUAUACAGAAGAAUAAGGUCUACGCGUAGAUUGAUGACGGUCUUAUGAAUAAGCAUCGGCUAACUCCGUGCCAGCAGCCGCGGUAAUACGGAGGAUGCGAGCGUUAUCCGGAAUCAUUGGGUUUAAAGGGUCCGUAGCGGGCUUAUAAGUCAGAGGUGAAAGCACUGAGCUCACUGAGUACUCCUUUGAAACUGUGGUCUUGAAUGUUUGUGAAAGCUGGAAUGUGUAGUGUAGCGGGGAAAUGCAUAAUAUUACACAAACACCUUGCGNAAGGCUGUUACUAACAAAUUAUUGACCCUUGGACCAAAGCGUGGGGAGCGAACAGGAUUAUACCCUGGAGUCCCGCUUAAAANUGGAUACUACUGUUUGGGNAGAAUUUUGNGGGCUAAGCGAAAGUGAUAAGUAUCCCACCUGGGGAGUACGCACGCAAGUGUGAAACUCAAAGGAAUUGACGGGGGCCCGCACAAGCGGUGGAGCAUGUGGUUUAAUUCGAUGAUACGCGAGGAACCUUACCAAGGUUUAAAUGGGAAACGACGUACCUAGAGAUAGNUAUUUNCUUCGGACGUUUUUCAAGGUGCUGCAUGGUUGUCGUCAGACACGUGCCGUGNGGUGCC
RNAcentral lists this ribosomal RNA (1025 nucleotides) under Capnocytophaga canimorsus. RNAcentral's name for it is "bacterial SSU rRNA". It matches the Rfam family "Bacterial small subunit ribosomal RNA", at positions 15 to 1076 of the family's 1533-position model. Lineage: Bacteria; Pseudomonadati; Bacteroidota; Flavobacteriia; Flavobacteriales; Flavobacteriaceae. The record is from RNAcentral.